CAGAGCGAACGCUGGCGGCAGGCCUAACACAUGCAAGUCGAGCGGCCGUAGCAAUACGGCAGCGGCAGACGGGAGAGUAACACGUGGGAACGCGCCCUUCGGUUCGGAAUAACUCAGGGAAACUUGGGCUAAUACCGAAUACGCCCUUACGGGGAAAGAUUUAUUGCCGAAGGAACGGCCCGCGUCCGAUUAGCUUGUUGGUGAGGUAACGGCUCACCCAAGGCGACGAUCGGUAGCUGGUCUGAGAGGAUGACCAGCCUCACUGGGACUGAGACACGGCCCAGACUCCUACGGGAGGCAGCAGUGGGGAAUAUUGGACAAUGGGCGCAAGCCUGAUCCAGCCAUGCCGCGUGGGUGAUGAAGGCCCUAGGGUUGUAAAGCCCUUUCGGCGGGGAAGAUAAUGACGGUACCCGCAGAAGAAGCCCCGGCUAACUUCGUGCCAGCAGCGGC
Molecule: ribosomal RNA, 450 nt
Filed under: uncultured bacterium
Lineage: Bacteria
Description: bacterial SSU rRNA
Rfam family: Bacterial small subunit ribosomal RNA
Source: RNAcentral